Molecule: RNA transcript, 2289 nt
Organism: Stomoxys calcitrans (stable fly)
Lineage: Eukaryota; Metazoa; Arthropoda; Insecta; Diptera; Muscidae
Gene name: cytochrome c oxidase subunit 1-like
Exons: 1
Source: RefSeq, a predicted model, not a curated record
UCGCAACAAUGGUUAUUUUCUACUAAUCAUAAAGAUAUUGGUACUUUAUACUUUAUUUUCGGAGCAUGAUCAGGUAUAGUCGGAACUUCUUUAAGAAUUUUAAUUCGAGCAGAAUUAGGACAUCCUGGAGCAUUAAUUGGUGAUGAUCAGAUUUAUAAUGUAAUUGUUACUGCACAUGCAUUUAUUAUAAUUUUCUUUAUAGUUAUACCAAUUAUAAUUGGAGGAUUUGGAAAUUGAUUAGUUCCAUUAAUACUUGGAGCUCCUGACAUAGCCUUCCCUCGAAUAAAUAAUAUAAGUUUUUGACUACUUCCUCCUGCUCUUACCCUUUUAUUAGUUAGAAGAAUAGUAGAAAAGGGAGCUGGAACUGGUUGAACCGUAUAUCCACCUUUAUCUUCAAAUAUUGCACAUGGUGGGGCUUCUGUUGAUUUAGCUAUUUUUUCUUUACAUUUGGCAGGAAUUUCAUCAAUUCUAGGAGCUGUAAAUUUUAUUACUACUGUAAUUAAUAUACGAGCUACAGGAAUUACAUUUGAUCGAAUACCAUUAUUUGUUUGAUCAGUUGUAAUUACUGCUUUAUUACUUUUAUUAUCUCUUCCUGUUUUAGCUGGUGCUAUUACUAUAUUAUUAACAGAUCGAAAUUUAAACACUUCUUUCUUUGAUCCAGCAGGAGGUGGAGAUCCAAUUUUAUACCAACAUUUAUUUUGGUUUUUUGGUCAUCCAGAAGUUUAUAUUUUAAUUUUACCUGGAUUUGGAAUAAUUUCUCAUAUUAUUAGUCAAGAAUCAGGUAAAAAGGAAACUUUUGGGUCAUUAGGAAUAAUUUAUGCAAUAUUAGCAAUUGGUUUAUUAGGGUUUAUUGUUUGAGCUCACCAUAUAUUUACAGUUGGAAUAGAUGUUGAUACUCGAGCUUAUUUUACUUCAGCAACUAUAAUUAUUGCUGUACCUACUGGAAUCAAAAUUUUCAGAUGACUUGCAACACUUUAUGGUGCUCAAUUAACUUAUUCACCAGCUAUUUUAUGAGCUUUAGGGUUUGUAUUUUUAUUCACAGUUGGAGGAUUAACUGGUGUAGUUUUAGCUAACUCUUCAGUAGAUAUUAUUUUACAUGAUACAUAUUAUGUAGUUGCUCAUUUUCAUUAUGUUUUAUCAAUAGGAGCUGUAUUUGCUAUUAUAGCAGGAUUUGUUCAUUGAUAUCCUUUAUUUACUGGAUUAACAAUAAAUAAUAAACUUUUAAAAAGUCAAUUUGUAAUUAUAUUUAUUGGAGUAAAUUUAACUUUUUUCCCUCAACAUUUUUUAGGACUUGCUGGAAUACCUCGACGAUAUUCAGACUAUCCAGAUGCUUAUACUGCAUGAAAUGUUAUUUCUACAAUUGGUUCAACUAUUUCAUUAUUAGGAAUUUUAUAUUUAUUUUAUAUUAUUUGAGAAAGUUUAAUUUCUCAACGUCAAGUAAUCUUUCCAAUUCAACUAAAUUCUUCAAUUGAAUGAUUACAAAAUACACCACCUGCUGAACAUAGUUAUAAUGAAUUGCCUUUAUUAGUAAAUUUCUAAUAUGGCAGAUUAGUGCAAUGGAUUUAAGCUCCAUAUAUAAAGUAUUUUACUUUUAUUAGAAACUAAUGUCAACAUGAGCAAAUUUAGGUUUACAAGAUAGUUCUUCUCCUUUAAUAGAACAAUUAAUUUUUUUUCAUGACCAUGCACUUUUAAUUUUAGUAAUAAUUACAGUACUAGUUGGAUACUUAAUAUUUACCUUAUUUUUUAACAAUUAUGUAAAUCGAUUUUUACUUCAUGGUCAAACAAUUGAAAUUAUUUGAACAAUUCUUCCUGCAAUUAUUUUAUUAUUUAUUGCUUUUCCUUCUCUUCGACUUUUAUAUUUACUAGAUGAAAUUAAUGAACCUUCAAUUACAUUAAAGGCAAUUGGUCAUCAAUGAUAUUGAAGCUAUGAAUAUUCAGAUUUUAAUAAUAUUGAAUUUGAUUCUUAUAUAAUUCCAACAAAUGAAUUAAAUUUAGAAAAUUUUCGAUUAUUAGAUGUAGAUAAUCGAGUAAUUUUACCUAUAAAUUCACAAAUUCGAAUUUUAGUAACUGCUGCAGAUGUAAUUCAUUCAUGAACAGUUCCCGCUCUUGGGGUAAAAGUUGAUGGAACUCCAGGUCGAUUAAAUCAAACUAAUUUUUUAAUUAAUCGCCCUGGAUUAUUUUAUGGUCAAUGUUCAGAAAUUUGUGGAGCAAAUCAUAGUUUUAUACCAAUUGUAAUUGAAAGAAUUCCAGUAAAUUAUUUUAUUAAAUGAAUUUCAAAUAAUAAUUCUU